AUUACGCUUGGGCGGGCAGGCCUAAACAUGCAAGUCGAGCGGUAGAGAGAAGCUUGCUUCUCUUGAGAGCGGAGAGACGGGUGAGUAAUGCCUAGGAAUCUGCCUGGUAGUGGGGGAUAACGUUCGGAAACGAACGCUAAUACCGCAUACGUCCUACGGGAGAAAGCAGGGGACCUUCGGGCCUUGCGCUAUCAGAUGAGCCUAGGUCGGAUUAGCUAGUUGGUGAGGUAAUGGCUCACCAAGGCGACGAUCCGUAACUGGUCUGAGAGGAUGAUCAGUCACACUGGAACUGAGACACGGUCCAGACUCCUACGGGAGGCAGCAGUGGGGAAUAUUGGACAAUGGGCGAAAGCCUGAUCCAGCCAUGCCGCGUGUGUGAAGAAGGUCUUCGGAUUGUAAAGCACUUUAAGUUGGGAGGAAGGGCAUUAACCUAAUACGUUAGUGUUUUGACGUUACCGACAGAAUAAGCACCGGCUAACUCUGUGCCAGCAGCCGCGGUAAUACAGAGGGUGCAAGCGUUAAUCGGAAUUACUGGGCGUAAAGCGCGCGUAGGUGGUUUGUUAAGUUGGAUGUGAAAUCCCCGGGCUCAACCUGGGAACUGCAUUCAAAACUGACUGACUAGAGUAUGGUAGAGGGUGGUGGAAUUUCCUGUGUAGCGGUGAAAUGCGUAGAUAUAGGAAGGAACACCAGUGGCGAAGGCGACCACCUGGACUAAUACUGACACUGAGGUGCGAAAGCGUGGGGAGCAAACAGGAUUAGAUACCCUGGUAGUCCACGCCGUAAACGAUGUCAACUAGCCGUUGGAAGCCUUGAGCUUUUAGUGGCGCAGCUAACGCAUUAAGUUGACCGCCUGGGGAGUACGGCCGCAGGUUAAAACUCAAAUGAAUUGACGGAAGGGCG
Molecule: ribosomal RNA, 900 nt
Filed under: uncultured bacterium
Lineage: Bacteria
Description: bacterial SSU rRNA
Rfam family: Bacterial small subunit ribosomal RNA
Source: RNAcentral